AAAUUAAUUAAACACUCAUUUUGGGAGUGAAAUUUGGUAGUGAAAUUUGUUUAGAUUUCAAUUAUAAAAAGUUUGUAAUUUUUCUUUAUUUAAAUUUUUUUUUUUAACUAAGUGAGCCAGUGAGCCAACCGUUUACCUAACAACCCUGGUGGAUUGAGUCGGGUUCAAAUUUUUCUAACUCGCUAAUAAGGGAGUUGUUCCCUCCACCUCCCCAAUUGCCUCCUCCAUCUCCCCAAUUUUUCCCAUUUUUUCUUUAAUUACAAAAAUGUCCUUUUCUUUUACCUUUUUACUCUUUUUCAUUUUUAUUUUUAACAUUAUUUACCCAACCCUAAAUAUUCACCUUUACUCUCCUGACAGCCACCCCCCAAAACAUUUUUGAGAAAUGCCUCUUUCUCUCACUUCCGUCACUUUGUCCUCUCUUCUUCCCAC
Molecule: long non-coding RNA, 429 nt
Filed under: Vigna radiata
Lineage: Eukaryota; Viridiplantae; Streptophyta; Magnoliopsida; Fabales; Fabaceae
Description: long non-coding RNA (VRAD_LNC002514)
Source: RNAcentral